AGCUGUCUGUUCUGGUACACCUCCUUACUUUUCUUCCCACUUUCCAUCUCCCUUUGUCUUCCUGGCCUUGAUAAUAUCAUGAAGUGUUGUUUUCUUCAGGCCAUACUUGUCCAUCAGUUGAGCAUGUGACAUGUCCCUCUCAUGGUCCUGGAUUAUCUCAAACUUCUGAUGCACAGAGAGAAUCUUUUCUCCCUUUCUCCAUGAAGCAUGAGACGGUGAUGGAGUCUUACAAGAUGUGGUGGGAGUUUGGGAAGACAUUGUAGAUGUAUGUGUCACUGUGAGUGAGAGAGAGCACAUUAGCGAGGUACCACACUCUGUGAUAACCAGCCACACACUGAGCUGUGUUCAGUCAGCCCAGCCUAGGCCUGCGCCAGUAGUCAGCUUACCCAAGGGAUAUGCACAGCGUCACUGGCAUGUUUGGUCAACUUUCAAACUUGUCGAAUAAACCAAACAUAUGAUGAUGAUAAGUGCAAAUCGCAAGCACGAGGAUCCUUACAGCCUAGAAAUUCACAAUGCACCACCAACUCUGGACACAAUGGCUCGUCUUGAGCGCUACAUCCCACCCCUGUACAAGGUAAGCAAGGAGUGUGUCACCAUGCUGCGGAACAAGCCGAUCCGAGGCGCCCCAUUGGACUUCACAGGCGUCCUUUAAGAGACUGGAAUAUGUGUGGCCAUACCUGGCAGUGUAGAGGCUGUGCACAGGCACCACUUUGAAGGCCCAGACAAGAGGAACAGUUGUACCUCUUCACCUCCCUGGCAGCCUGGCUCAUCUGCAUCUGGAGGCCCCACAACAAUGUGACCACCCAAACUCCACUGUGUCAGCCAUUUGUGACCAGCUUAGGCACCUGCCUCUCCUUACCCUAGUGGUGGUGGUAGUGGUGGUGGUGGUGACGUGGAGGAUGAGACGGGCAGUGCCGGACAAGGUGGAGGAGGAGAUGGCGGCGGCGGAGUACAGGGAGCGAGAGGAAGGGGAGGAGGAGAACGAUUUACGUGUGAACGACCUCAGGGAUUUGAAUGAACAGAAGACACACACAACUGAGCAGACGCAGGAGCACCGAGAGAGCGCCUCCACGGACAAGCACCUGGUUAGCCUGCACUGGGAAAUCACCUGCAGUCUGUAGAAGAUUGUCCCCUGGGAAAAGUACCUAAUCUGCCACUAGAACCAUUAAAACACCCUUAAAAACCUGUGUCAUUUUAACUAGAGGCUUUUGAAAGUAAUGGAGCUCCUCAAGAGUGUUUCUCCUGUUAAUAAUGUAGAAAUAUUGCUAAUCUGUUACUACAACCAUUAAAAUUCCCUUAAAAUUUUGUGUCCCUUCAACUAGAGGCUUUUGAAAGUAAUGGAGCUCCUCAAGAGUGUUUCUCCUGUUAAUAAUGUAGAAAUAUUGCCAAUCUGUCACUAGAACCAUUAAAAUUCCCUUAAAAACCUGUGCCACAAUAACCAGAGCCUUUUGAAAGUAAUGGAGGUUUUCAAGAACGUUUCUACUGUUAAUAAUGUAGAAAUAUUGUUAAUCUCACUAGAACCAUUAAAAUUCCCUUAAAAACCUGUCACUUUAACCAGAGCCUUUGGAAAGUAAUGGAGAUUCUCAAGUGUGUUUCUACUGUUAAUGAUGUAGAAAUAUUGCUGUCACUAGAACCAUUAAAAUUCCCUUAAAACCUGUCAUUUUAACUAGAGCCCCUGGGAAAAGUACCUAAUCUGCCACUAGAACCAUUAAAACCCUUAGAAACCUGUGUCAUUUUAACUAGAGGCUUUUGAAAAUAGUGGAUGUUUCCUGCCCCUGGCCGAGUAACAUUUUGGCAAGAAAGUUCACUGUAAAUUGUGUUUGCUUGUUGGGGAAAGGAGAGCUCAUCACAGCAUGACUCGCUCUCUGUACUGCACGUGGAGUAACAAUGUAUAUGAAACGUUAAAUUCCUCAUGCAUCUGCAAGAAAACAAUGUUAGUGCGCCAUAAUAUUGCAAAAAUGAGAUGCCUCAGACCGCCCAGGGAUAUCUACGUGGGCCGCAGUGUGCAGACGAUUCCCUAUGACUGUGUCCUCGUCUCGCUCUGUUUCAUGACAGCUCAAAUUUGUAUAUUUGUAGCCUUACUAGGGAGAAGAUCAACCAAAGGAUAAUAUCAAAGCUUCUCUGUUUUUUAUUACAAGUAAGUAUAUUCAGUGUUCAUGUUAAUGCAAGAAAGUUACAUAAAGACGAAG
Molecule: long non-coding RNA, 2189 nt
Organism: Scylla paramamosain (green mud crab)
Lineage: Eukaryota; Metazoa; Arthropoda; Malacostraca; Decapoda; Portunidae
Exons: 6
Source: RefSeq, a predicted model, not a curated record